Molecule: ribosomal RNA, 253 nt
Filed under: uncultured bacterium
Lineage: Bacteria
Description: partial 16S ribosomal RNA
Rfam family: Bacterial small subunit ribosomal RNA
Source: RNAcentral
GACGGAGGAUGCAAGUGUUAUCCGGAAUCACUGGGCGUAAAGCGUCUGUAGGUGGUUUAAAAAGUCCACUGUUAAAAAUUGAAGCUUAACUUCAAAGAUGCCGUGGAAACUUUUAAACUUGAGGAUGAUAGGGGUAGAGGGAAUUUCCAGUGGAGCGAUGAAAUGCGUAGAUAUUGGAAAGACCACCAAUGGCGAAGGCACUCUACUGGGCCAUUACUGACACUGAGAGACGAAAGCUAGGGGAGCGAAUGGG